This 253-nucleotide ribosomal RNA is filed under the name uncultured bacterium. Its description in RNAcentral is "partial 16S ribosomal RNA". It matches the Rfam family "Bacterial small subunit ribosomal RNA", at positions 524 to 776 of the family's 1533-position model. The record is from RNAcentral.
UACAGAGGUCCCAAGCGUUGUUCGGAUUCACUGGGCGUAAAGGGUGCGUAGGCGGUCGGGUAAGUCUGACGUGAAAUCUUCAAGCUCAACUUGGAAACUGCGUCGGAUACUAUUCGGCUAGAGGAAUGGAGGGGAGACUGGAAUACUUGGUGUAGCAGUGAAAUGCGUAGAUAUCAAGUGGAACACCAGUGGCGAAGGCGAGUCUCUGGACAUUUCCUGACGCUGAGGCACGAAAGCCAGGGGAGCGAACGGG